Molecule: non-coding RNA, 158 nt
Filed under: Clostridium saudiense
Lineage: Bacteria; Bacillati; Bacillota; Clostridia; Eubacteriales; Clostridiaceae
Source: RNAcentral
AUCUAUUUUUAUUAAAAAGGAAGUUAGGUGAAAAUCCUACACAGUGCCGAUACUGUAAUUAGGGAGUAGUAAUUCAAUAUGCCAUUGAACAUAAAUUAUGUUUGAGAAGGUGAAUUAGUAUGAUGAUCUUUAAGUCAGGAGACUUGCCAGUAUUAUAA